This 465-nucleotide ribosomal RNA is filed under the name Vreelandella stevensii. Its description in RNAcentral is "partial 16S ribosomal RNA". It matches the Rfam family "Bacterial small subunit ribosomal RNA", at positions 338 to 795 of the family's 1533-position model. The record is from RNAcentral. Lineage: Bacteria; Pseudomonadati; Pseudomonadota; Gammaproteobacteria; Oceanospirillales; Halomonadaceae.
CCUACGGGAGGCUGCAGUGGGGAAUAUUGGACAAUGGGGGGAACCCUGAUCCAGCCAUGCCGCGUGUGUGAAGAAGGCCCUCGGGUUGUAAAGCACUUUCAGUGAGGAAGAACGCCUGGUGGUUAAUACCCAUCAGGAAAGACAUCACUCACAGAAGAAGCACCGGCUAACUCCGUGCCAGCAGCCGCGGUAAUACGGAGGGUGCGAGCGUUAAUCGGAAUUACUGGGCGUAAAGCGCGCGUAGGUGGCUUGAUAAGCCGGUUGUGAAAGCCCCGGGCUCAACCUGGGAACGGCAUCCGGAACUGUCAAGCUAGAGUGCAGGAGAGGAAGGUAGAAUUCCCGGUGUAGCGGUGAAAUGCGUAGAGAUCGGGAGGAAUACCAGUGGCGAAGGCGGCCUUCUGGACUGACACUGACACUGAGGUGCGAAAGCGUGGGUAGCAAACAGGAUUAGAUACCCUGGUAGUA